CCCCUCGUGCACUGUUUUCACAACCUCCCUAGGGAGCUUCGACAGGAGUUGGAAGGGAACCUGAGCGUUUGAAUGGGAGUAGUCUUCAUUGACUCCUCAGCUCAAGUUCCCCCAUCAGCUGAGCAAUCAGCGUACAACUGGAGUCGACUCUUCUAGGCCACUAUUCUUCUUAUAAGAAUCUCUCUCCAUUCAAGAGAGGCCUUAUGAGAUGUUUAACUAACCCCUUUCACCCCCUUUUUGCUAGUUGACUUUUUAUAUGUUGUUACACGUAGAUUCAUUUCUACUGUUUCACACGUUUAAUUACUUGAACGUUAAAAAAACAACUCUUAGCAAUGGAUAUCUUGGUUCUCGCAACGAUGAAGAACGCAGCGAAAUGCGAUACGUAAUGCGAAUUGCAGAAUUCAGUGAAUCAUCAAAUCUUUGAACGCAAAUUGCGCUCUUGGGUAGCCCUAGGAGCACGCCUCUCUCAGUAUCGGUUCAACCAUCUCUCAGCAGCGUAGGCAACUACGCCGACUGGAAAAUGAGAGUCGAGCGCCUCGUGUGCUCGUCUCUUGAAAUACAUCGAGUGUGGACUCAUCGACUUCAGCUUUCGUCUUCGGGCGGAAUAGUGGAUCUCGACUGUCGCACCUCAAGUGACGUGAAUACUGGCCCUUGUGGUCUCCCUUUACGUGUAUCUUGGGUGCGUCGAUUAGGUCGAGUGAUGCGAACGUAGUUGAACGAGCUCACAUGUGACGUGGCAGCAAUGCUACAAUCGGCUUCGUGUUUACACAGAGUCUGAAUAUUUGAUCUGAGAUGAAGCGAGACAACCCCCUGAAUUUAAGCAUAUUAAUAAGGGGAGGAAAAGAAACUAACAAGGAUUCCCCCAGUAACGGCGAGUGAAGCGGGAAGAGCUCAAUUUUGAAAAUCGAUU
Molecule: ribosomal RNA, 910 nt
Filed under: uncultured fungus
Lineage: Eukaryota; Fungi
Description: eukaryotic LSU rRNA
Rfam family: 5.8S ribosomal RNA (bases 322-475)
Source: RNAcentral